CAAAGGUAGCAUAAUCAUUAGGGGUUUAAUUGGAACCUGGUAUGAAGGGUUGGACAAAGGAAAAACUGUCUUUGUAGUUAAAGUUGAAGUUUACUUUUAAGUGAAAAGGCUUAAAUAUAUCAAAGGGACGAUAAGACCCUAUAAAGCUUUAUAAAUAAUCUGGAUUUGGCUAAUAUUGGUUUAUAAAGGUUGAGUAUAGUUAUUUUAUUUUGUUGGGGCGAUAUAAGUAUAAGUUUUGUUAACUGCUUAAGAAGCAUACUAUCGUGAGAGAGUUAUAUAAGUGGAUGAUCCUUUUUAAAGAUUAAAAAACUAAGUUACUUUAGGGAUAACAGCGUUAUUUCUUUUGAGAGUUCAUAUCGAAAAAGGAGAUUGCGACCUCGAUGUUGAAUUAAAAUAUCUAUAUAAUGCAGCCGUUAUAAAAGAGGGUCUGUUCGACCUUUAAAUUUUUACAUGAUUUGAGUUCA
This 464-nucleotide ribosomal RNA is filed under the name Visayax osteodictyon. RNAcentral describes it as "partial 16S ribosomal RNA". It matches the Rfam family "Bacterial large subunit ribosomal RNA", at positions 1951 to 2613 of the family's 2925-position model. The record is from RNAcentral. Lineage: Eukaryota; Metazoa; Arthropoda; Malacostraca; Decapoda; Xanthidae.